Non-coding RNA from Vicia faba (fava bean), 312 nucleotides. The record is from the annotation of a GenBank genome assembly. Lineage: Eukaryota; Viridiplantae; Streptophyta; Magnoliopsida; Fabales; Fabaceae.
AUGAAGGCCGGAAUUCCAACAAUCUCCUUUCCGCAUAAGCAGCCAUUGCCUAAUAGGAAAACUGCCCUUGGAUUUGAGUACCUCCCUACUAGCCAAGACACAGCUGAAUUUGCCAACUCUACCUCCAAUUCCUUAGCUCAAGCUUUUAUGGCCCACUUCAAAGUUCAAACAGUUUGUGCCCCUCCUUUGAAUUCAAAAAAACAACUAUUGGCCAAGCUCCUACUUCCUUUCAUUCAUCUCUUUGAUAUCUCUGACGAGCUGUAUGAACUGAAACCUAGCUCAGGUGUAGCAUCCGCACUCGCCGGCAGAUGA